This 142-nucleotide ribosomal RNA is filed under the name uncultured bacterium. Its description in RNAcentral is "partial 16S ribosomal RNA". It matches the Rfam family "Bacterial small subunit ribosomal RNA", at positions 1344 to 1500 of the family's 1533-position model. The record is from RNAcentral.
ACAGGUCAGCAUACUGUGGUGAAUACGUUCCCGGGCCUUGUACACACCGCCCGUCACACCAUGAGAGUUGAGAAUACCCGAAGCCCAUGUCAAAGUGGUCGAAGGUAGGCUUGAUGAUUGGGUGAAGUCGUAACAAGGUACC